UUUCCGGUUGAUCCCGCCCGAGGUCACUGCUAUCGGGGUUCGAUUAAGCCAUGCGAGUCGAGAGGGUUCGGCCCUCGGCGUACUGCUCAGUAACACGUGGAUAACCUGCCCUAAGGAAGGGAAUACCCCCGGGAAACUGGGGAUAAUGCCCUAUAGGUUACCGAUGCUGGAAUGCUCGGUAACCGAAAGUUCCGGCGCCUUAGGAUGGAUCUGCGGCCGAUUAGGUUGUUGUCGGGGUAACGGCCCAACAAGCCGAUAAUCGGUACGGGUUGUGGGAGCAAGAGCCCGGAGUUGGAUUCUGAGACACGAAUCCAGGCCCUACGGGGCGCAGCAGGCGCGAAAACUUUACAAUGCGGGCAACCGUGAUAAGGGAACCUCGAGUGCCUGUAUAUGCAGGCUGUCCAGGUGUCUAAAACACACCUGAAGAAAGGGCCGGGCAAGACCGGUGCCAGCCGCCGCGGUAAUACCGGCGGCCCGAGUGGUGCCACUUUUAUUGGGCUUAAAGCGUUCGUAGCUGGGUCGUUAAGUCUCUUGGGAAAUCCGGCAGCUUAACUGUCGGGCGUCUAAGAGAUACUGGCGAUCUUGGAACCGGGAGAGGUGAGGGGUACUUCAGGGGUAGGAGUGAAAUCCUGUAAUCCUUGAGGGACCACCUGUGGCGAAGGCGCCUCACCAGAACGGCUUCGACAGUGAGGGACGAAAGCUGGGGGAGCAAACCGGAUUAGAUACCCGGGUAGUCCCAGCCGUAAACGAUGUGCGUUAGGUGUAUCGAUGACCACGAGUCAUCGAGGUGCCGAAGGGAAACCGUGAAACGUACCGCCUGGGAAGUACGGUCGCAAGGCUGAAACUUAAAGGAAUUGGCGGGGGAGCACCACAACAGGUGGAGCCUGCGGUUUAAUUGGAUUCAACGCCGGGA
This 913-nucleotide ribosomal RNA is filed under the name methanogenic archaeon CH50. Its description in RNAcentral is "bacterial SSU rRNA". It matches the Rfam family "Archaeal small subunit ribosomal RNA", at positions 1 to 923 of the family's 1478-position model. Lineage: Archaea; Methanobacteriati; Methanobacteriota; Methanomicrobia; Methanomicrobiales. The record is from RNAcentral.